AUAACGGUCCUAAGGUAGCGAAAUUCCUUGUCAGGUAAGUUCUGACCCGCACGAAUGGCGUAACGAUUUGGGCGCUGUCUCAACAGCCCACCCGGCGAAAUUGUAGUACUGGUGAAGAUGCCAGUUACCCGCAACUAGACGGAAAGACCCCAUGGAGCUUUACUGUAGCUUAAUACUGGAAAUCGGUAAAUCAUGUACAGGAUAGGUGGGAGACUUGGAAGCCAGGGCGUCAGCUUUGGUGGAGUCACCCUUGGGAUACCACCCUUGAUUUGCUGGUUUUCUAACCUGCGGCCGUGAAUCCGGUCGGGGGACACUGUUAGGUGGGCAGUUUGACUGGGGCGGUCGCCUCCCAAAAGGUAACGGAGGCGCUCAAAGGUUCGUUCAGCACGGACGGAAACCGUGCAGUGAGUGUAAACGCAUAAACGAGCCUAACUGCGAGACCGACGGGUCGAGCAGUAACGAAAGUUGGAGUUAGUGAUCCGGCGGUAUGCAAGUGGAAGUGCCGUCGCUCAACGGAUAAAAGCUACCCUGGGGAUAACAGGCUGAUCUCCCCCAAGCGUCCACAGCGACGGGGAGGUUUGGCACCUCGAUGUCGGCUCGUCACAUCCUGGGGCUGAAUUCGGUCCCAAGGGUUCGGCUGUUCGCCGAUUAAAGUGGCACGCGAGCUGGGUUCAGAACGUCGUGAGACAGUUCGGUCCCUAUCUGUUGCGGGCGUAAGAGAUUUGAAGGGAGCUGUCCUUAGUACGAGAGGACCGGGAUGGACGUACCUCUGGUGCACCAGUUGUCCUGCCAAGGGCACAGCUGGGUAGCUACGUCUGGACGAGAUAAACGCUGAAAGCAUCUAAGCGUGAAACUCCCCCUAAGAUAAGAUCUCUCAUCCGAAAGGAGUAAGGCUCGACGUAGACUAUGUCGUAGAUAGGUCGGAGGUGGAAGCACGGUAACGUGUGCAGCUGACCGAUACUAAUAAGCCGAGGGCUUGACCUA
This 984-nucleotide ribosomal RNA is filed under the name human gut metagenome. RNAcentral's name for it is "bacterial LSU rRNA". It matches the Rfam family "Bacterial large subunit ribosomal RNA", at positions 1942 to 2925 of the family's 2925-position model. The record is from RNAcentral.